RNAcentral lists this ribosomal RNA (105 nucleotides) under Bizionia gelidisalsuginis. RNAcentral's name for it is "partial 23S ribosomal RNA". It matches the Rfam family "Bacterial large subunit ribosomal RNA", at positions 2823 to 2925 of the family's 2925-position model. Lineage: Bacteria; Pseudomonadati; Bacteroidota; Flavobacteriia; Flavobacteriales; Flavobacteriaceae. The record is from RNAcentral.
UUCUUUAAAGGGUCGUGGGAGAUUACCACGUUGAUAGGUCAUAGGUGUAAAGGCAGUAAUGUCAUAGCCGAGUGAUACUAAUAACCCAUAGGCUUAUUGUACGCC